CGGCCGCAGCUUGGAGGCCCCGCCCCCGGGUGGGCCUUGGGGAGCUGAGGUUUCCGACGGAAGCGCGCGCGGCGCGCGGAGUCCCUGAACCUGGGCACUCCAGGCGGCCGCCUGAGGGUUGGCGGCGGAAGAACUCUUUGGGGAGAAGGUUUCCCCGUACCGAAGGAGGUGACGGGAGUCGCGGGCGGGAGAAGUUGCCACCCUGCCAAGUUUUCCAAGUCUGGGGACCCCAACCCCUCGAUCGCCGUUCCUGGAGAUGAGGGCGACAAAUCCACGUUGUGAUAAUGCGCGCGUAAGGGUCAUCUUGGAGACGCAGAGGGACGCCCCCACCCCUUAGAGGGCGGGGGUCUGCAGUGCUUCGCGUACUGGGAUCACCAACACAGAAGACUGCAAAGCGCCUCUCGGGGAAGCCGUCACCCCAGCUAGGAAAGCCCUAAAUCAGCCCCGUGAGCCCUCCGACCCCAACGUUGCAAACGUGUGUCAACACCAGAGUUUCUCAUCCUGGGCACCAGUGACGUUUGCUGCCGGAUCACUGUUGCAGGGGCCGUCGUGUGCAUUUUAGGACAUUCAGCAUCCUGGGUUUCUCCAGUCAGGUCAACCAAAAAUGUCCCGUCAUUGUCAGAGGUCCUCUGGCGGGCAGAACGUCCCCUGUUGAGAACCACUGGUUUAAAAACCCACCCUGCUUUGCAUGAAGAUGCUGGAAAAAUGAAACCCUCAUUUUCUGAACCAAGCAUUUCACUAAGGAAGAAAUUGAGGCCCAAGAUCACCCAGAGUUACAGGAAGACCUAGAUUUAAAGCAGGAGAGAGGCAGCUGAUGAGAACCACACACACGCCUUGGAUCCGUGCUACACCUGUUAUCUUGCAUUUGUCAUGCUUCUGGGAAGCGUUUUUAUUUGCACAAACGGCUGUUUCUGCACGUGGUUGUGGCUGCUUCCUUCUGCACAUGUGAAAAGUUUUACAUCACACUUGUAGGAGAAAAUAAACAUGGGCAGAAAAACUUUUUUAAUUUACUCCCUCUCCCUCCUCGAAAUAGGCGCUUUGUGUACAUGGUCCAGGUUGGAAACCAGCCCAUUUGGAGGUACUCUUUAUCUCACCUCAGAUAAGCAAAAUAAACUAGCUCUCCCCCAAGCA
This is a long non-coding RNA of Suricata suricatta (meerkat), 1131 nucleotides long. RefSeq lists it as uncharacterized. The transcript has 2 exons. The record is from RefSeq and is a predicted model, not a curated record. NCBI's taxonomy places the organism in Eukaryota, Metazoa, Chordata, Mammalia, Carnivora, Herpestidae.